This 497-nucleotide ribosomal RNA is filed under the name uncultured bacterium. RNAcentral's name for it is "partial 16S ribosomal RNA". It matches the Rfam family "Bacterial small subunit ribosomal RNA", at positions 28 to 507 of the family's 1533-position model. The record is from RNAcentral.
GAUGAACGCUGGCGGCGUGCCUAAUACAUGCAAGUCGAGCGAACGGACGAGAAGCUUGCUUCUCUGAUGUUAGCGGCGGACGGGUGAGUAACACGUGGAUAACCUACCUAUAAGACUGGGAUAACUUCGGGAAACCGUAGCUAAUACCGGAUAAUAUUUUGAACCGCAUGGUUCAAAAGUGAAAGACGGUCUUGCUGUCACUUAUAGAUGGAUCCGCGCUGCAUUAGCUAGUUGGUAAGGUAACGGCUUACCAAGGCAACGAUGCAUAGCCGACCUGAGAGGGUGAUCGGCCACACUGGAACGGAGACACGGUCCAGACUCCUACGGGAGGCAGCAGUAGGGAAUCUUCCGCAACGGGCGAAAGCCUGACGGAGCAACGCCGCGUGAGUGAUGAAGGUCUUCGGAUCGUAAAACUCUGUUAUUAGGGAAGAACAUAUGUGUAAGUAACUGUGCACAUCUUGACGGUACCUAAUCAGAAAGCCACGGCUAACUACGUG